This is a long non-coding RNA of Solanum tuberosum (potato), 847 nucleotides long. RefSeq lists it as uncharacterized. NCBI's taxonomy places the organism in Eukaryota, Viridiplantae, Streptophyta, Magnoliopsida, Solanales, Solanaceae. The transcript is spliced from 3 exons. The record is from RefSeq and is a predicted model, not a curated record.
AUGGAUGGGAAACUUGAUGUAAAGCAGCGGCAGAUAUCAAUAAAUUCUCUUAAUGACCCUAAGAGUGAUGUAAAAGUGCUUCUUGCAUCAAUAAAAGCCUGUUCAGAAGGAAUAAGUCUUAUAGGGGCCUCAAGAGUGGUUUUGCUUGACGUUCUCUGGAAUCCCUCAGUAGAACAGCAAGCCAUCAGUCGAGCCUACAGAAAUGGUCAGACUAAAUUUGUUCAUGUUUACUGUCCAGUGUCAUCAAAAUGGGAGGUGGACAAGAUCGAACAGCAGACGAAAAAAAAAUAUCAUUCAGAUGUUAUUAUGUCUAGGAAUAAAGCGAAUACUUUCAAGAUGGAUCCUUCAUGUUCUGUGUCAGAGGAUACCAUACUAGAAUCCAUGGUUAAGCAUGAGUGCCUCCGUCAUAUUUUUGAAAAACUAUCUCAUGCACCACGUGUUGUGCCUCCUACUACAUGCUUUAAUUCUCGUAACCAACCUUCAAAACUGAGCUGUUAGAUCGGUUGGAGCUUUUUUUGGGUUGUGAAUGACACUUGUUAGGACUUACAGUGGAGCCUAGAAGAAUUUUUGCAGUCAUCCUUUUGUGAGGUGCUUCAUGACAGGCAUUUUGAUGCAAUUCAAGAACGGCAGAUUCACGCCUGGUUAAUGAAGAAUGCUGAUAAGAGUUUUCAUCACCCACAGGAUGUUCUUGUAAAAUUGUUUUGCCAGACAAUUUUUUGUUUCAGAACUGUGAAAAAUCUCAGGCUCUUUCAUCUGUGUAGCAUAUUCCUCAACACAAUUGUAUUUUGGCUCAAGUCUCUUGGUAUAUAUGAUUCCACUUGUAGAUAGUAAAUUGGCUUCAUGCUUA